AAAGCAUGAAUACUUCAUGAAUAGUUAUGACAUGCAUCUGUACAAUUUCUAAGUCUUUUCGCUGAGAUGAGACCCUCAACAACCAUAUAUGUGAUGCGAAAAAUUCUCUAUAAUGGAACUGAAAAAGGAAAGAGAUUGUAAAUUAAGGUUAUAUGAUUUUCUCUCUUUUACAAGGAAAAAAGAAGUCUAACUUAAUGUUCCCAAUAUAUACUAUUGGAGCAUUGGUAGAGUACACAGCCCAAUGAUGAUCCUUACCUACAAAGCUUCAUUCAUCUCAAAGUUCUCUUGAAUGAUGUGCCUCGAAAUUAACAGAGAAGAGAGUGGAAAAAAAUUAUAUAAUUUCCAAGGGAUGCAUCGAAGAAGCCUUCAUAUGUAUGUAUAUAUGGAAUAGGAAAAAAACUACCAACGAGGUAUGCAUCUUUAAAGGAAGUCGGAGGAUCACAACAAGCCAUAGGAUGGAUGCCUUCAUACAAGCCCCCCAACAAAACCAUGAGAGAGAGAGAGAGAUACCUCGGAACUGGACUUGGCCUCGACUCAGUCAAGUCGGCUGAGUCAACCUGCCAAGCUCUCUAGCUGGAGCUCCACUGCCUAGCUGAGCGAGAUCAUCGUUCGGCCAAGCUAGGGAGGACAAAGUGGUAGAACAGUAUGCUACCCAAAGUAGAUCAACCGCGCUAACCUAGGAUCCAUAAUAAACACUUAAAAAAAGGUAACAGAGAAGAGAUGUUGGAAUAAAAAAUUUAGGAGCGAAGAAGAAAAAAAAAUUAUUAAAAAAAAUU
Molecule: long non-coding RNA, 776 nt
Filed under: Phoenix dactylifera (date palm)
Lineage: Eukaryota; Viridiplantae; Streptophyta; Magnoliopsida; Arecales; Arecaceae
Description: long non-coding RNA (PDAC_LNC017996)
Source: RNAcentral